RNAcentral lists this small RNA (338 nucleotides) under Sorex araneus (European shrew). RNAcentral describes it as "7SK RNA (ENSSARG00000019831.1)". It matches the Rfam family "7SK RNA". From Rfam's summary of the family: 7SK was discovered as an abundant small nuclear RNA in the mid-70s but a possible function has only recently been suggested. Two independent studies have found that 7SK RNA binds the CDK9/cyclin T complex (known as elongation factor P-TEFb). P-TEFb activates transcription by phosphorylating the C-terminal domain of RNA polymerase II. Lineage: Eukaryota; Metazoa; Chordata; Mammalia; Eulipotyphla; Soricidae. The record is from RNAcentral.
GCAUGUGAGGAUGAUCUGACUGCAACAUCUGCCAUACCAUUAAUUGCUUGUGUUGCUUUGACUGAUCUGACUGGUUAGUCUGGUGUCCCUUCCACCCUCACCAUUCUAUGCACAUCCCUUUCAAACCUGUGCACUUGGUUGAAGAGGUCAGUCACCCCUGACAAGAGACUGACCCAUAGACCAUUCUUUGGUGGAGGGUAUACAAGUAGUUGUGCUGGAAAGUUUGAAGCAGAUAGCUAUGGUGCUGUUUAUUGAGAGAUUAAUCAAGAUGCGCAGUGAGGAGACAAUAGGAAUAGUGAUGAGAAAAAUGGUUACUGCUUUAAUCAAAUCCCAAGUUG